This 424-nucleotide ribosomal RNA is filed under the name uncultured bacterium. RNAcentral's name for it is "bacterial SSU rRNA". It matches the Rfam family "Bacterial small subunit ribosomal RNA", at positions 358 to 773 of the family's 1533-position model. The record is from RNAcentral.
GGAAUUGUUCGCAAUGGGCGCAAGCCUGACGACGCAACGCCGCGUGGAGGAUGAAGGGCUUCGGCUCGUAAACUCCUUUCGACCGAGAUGAAUAUCCACAGGGCUAAUAUCCCUGUGGACUGACAGUAUCGAGGGAAGAAGCCCCCGCUCACUCCGUGCCAGCAGCCGCGGUAAUACGGGGGGGGCAAGCGUUGUUCGGAAUUACUGGGCGUAAAGGGUUCGUAGGUGGUCAACUAAGUCAGACGUGAAAUCCCUCAGCUUAACUGGGGAACUGCGUCUGAUACUGGUUGACUUGAGUGCAGGAGAGGAACGCGGAAUUCCAGGUGUAGCGGUGAAAUGCGUAGAUAUCUGGAGGAACACCGGUGGCGAAGGCGGCGUUCUGGACUGUAACUGACACUGAGGAACGAAAGCCAGGGGAGCAAAC